Molecule: ribosomal RNA, 808 nt
Filed under: Curvularia pallescens
Lineage: Eukaryota; Fungi; Ascomycota; Dothideomycetes; Pleosporales; Pleosporaceae
Description: LSU rRNA
Rfam family: Eukaryotic large subunit ribosomal RNA
Source: RNAcentral
UGCCCUAGUAACGGCGAGUGAAGCGGCAACAGCUCAAAUUUGAAAUCUGGCUCUUUUAGAGUCCGAGUUGUAAUUUGCAGAGGGCGCUUUGGCUUUGGCAGCGGUCCAAGUUCCUUGGAACAGGACGUCACAGAGGGUGAGAAUCCCGUACGUGGUCGCUAGCUAUUGCCGUGUAAAGCCCCUUCGACGAGUCGAGUUGUUUGGGAAUGCAGCUCUAAAUGGGAGGUAAAUUUCUUCUAAAGCUAAAUAUUGGCCAGAGACCGAUAGCGCACAAGUAGAGUGAUCGAAAGAUGAAAAGCACUUUGGAAAGAGAGUCAAACAGCACGUGAAAUUGUUGAAAGGGAAGCGCUUGCAGCCAGACUUGCUUGCAGUUGCUCAUCCGGGCUUUUGCCCGGUGCACUCUUCUGCAGGCAGGCCAGCAUCAGUUUGGGCGGUGGGAUAAAGGUCUCUGUCACGUUCCUUCCUUCGGGUUGGCCAUAUAGGGGAGAUGUCAUACCACCAGCCUGGACUGAGGUCCGCGCAUCUGCUAGGAUGCUGGCGUAAUGGCUGUAAGCGGCCCGUCUUGAAACACGGACCAAGGAGUCUAACAUCUAUGCGAGUGUUUGGGUGUCAAGCCCGAGCGCGUAAUGAAAGUGAACGGAGGUGGGAACCCGCAAGGGUGCACCAUCGACCGAUCCUGAAGUUUACGGAAGGAUUUGAGUAAGAGCAUGGCUGUUGGGACCCGAAAGAUGGUGAACUAUGCUUGAAUAGGGUGAAGCCAGAGGAAACUCUGGUGGAGGCUCGCAGCGGUUCUGACGUGCAAAUCGAU